RNAcentral lists this non-coding RNA (175 nucleotides) under Pseudoalteromonas atlantica. Its description in RNAcentral is "FMN riboswitch (RFN element)". It matches the Rfam family "FMN riboswitch aptamer (RFN element)". From Rfam's summary of the family: The RFN element is a highly conserved domain that is found frequently in the 5'-untranslated regions of prokaryotic mRNAs that encode for flavin mononucleotide (FMN) biosynthesis and transport proteins. This element is a metabolite-dependent riboswitch that directly binds FMN in the absence of proteins. The record is from RNAcentral. Lineage: Bacteria; Pseudomonadati; Pseudomonadota; Gammaproteobacteria; Alteromonadales; Pseudoalteromonadaceae.
AUUCUCAGGGCGGGGUGAAAUUCCCCACCGGCGGUAUGUUUUACUCAUUAGUUUUUGAAUAAAACGAGCCCGCGAGCGCUUUAUUUAAUAAUCGUUUUUUAAUGUAUUAAAUAAAGGUCAAGCAGAUCUGGUGAGAUGCCAGAGCCGACGGUUAUAGUCCGGAUGAAAGAGAAUA